GGGGGGGGGGGGGGGGCCGAGCCCCCGCCGGCUGUUUCUCAGCCGGUGGCAGCCCGCGGGAAGCGGGGGUUCCUGCCCCCGCUCCCUCCGCCGCUCAUGGGCGAGGGGCCCGGGCUCCGCCGUGGGCGAAAAAGUUAAGGGAAAAAAAAAAAAAAGAAAAAAAAAGAACAAAAAAAGAGAGAUAAAACAAUAUGGGGCAUACUUGAAGUUCUCUGACCCUCUCGUGCAAAUCCAGUGUGUCCAUCAUCAUUUUGAGGACUUCAGUAUACGUUUGCAGUAUGAGGAUGAGGAAGAUGAACAGAAAGAGGCCUGGAAAGGAGAUGUCAUGGUUAAACACUAAGAAGGUGAUCUGCUAAAGAAGUUGGGAAACCAACUGUUGUUAACCUGAGUGUCAAAUACUACAGUAGGAGUGCUCUUCCCUGUCUUGCUAUCUGCUUUCUUUCCAUCACUACUAAUGGACUUGUGGAAAGAUGAAAGCUCAAUUCAUAUUUAAUUUACUUAGAAAAAAAUAACAACGUGAGUAUGCUUAUGUAAAUAACAAAAAAUUUUAAAAAUUUAAACAAUUAAUGUCUCUCAAGUGGAGGACAACUUUUUCUUUCUUUUACCUAGCUUCUUGAAAUUCGAAACAUUCUUGUUAAAAUGCCAAUAAUGAAAAAUCCUUUUGCAUUGCUGUUUCCACAAUUCAGAUUCUAAUCAGAUAAACUUCUGUCCUGGCUUUUCUAAAACUUUGUGGGAAAUGUAUAGAUUACUUUAAUAACAGAAAUUUUAAGGAAUUGAUAAGCUAAAUGUCUACUGCACAGUUAAAUGCAGUAUGACCUCUAAGAAUAAAGUCCAAAGCAUUUGAACUCAUAUUUGGAAGCUUAGCUGCUAAAAUGUGAUUCCUUAACAGCAUUGUAGACUCACAAAUAGUCAAAUUGCUGACUAUCUUCCAAAAAGCUCAACUCACUUUUGUUUUGGUAUCUAAACAUGUAUUUAAAAAUUCAACCUUUGGGCACUAGUGGCUGAUUUGUAGGAAAUUUUAAUAGUUCAUUUGACGAUUCGUUUUUAAUGUGCUCACCACCACUAAUUUUGUAAAACUUCUAUGCAUAAACUACUGAAUUCUGCUAUGGUGUCUGUGAGGUCCUGGAUACAGACAUGCAUCUUAAGUGACUGUCAGAACAAGCUCUAGAUGUAUAUCAUUCCUCUUUCCCACUAAUCUAAUGCUGUCAUUUGUGUUGAAUGAGAACCUAAAGAUACAGACAGAAAGUUUUCAAUUUAGACACAUUACCAGUCUGAAUAAAAUUAAAGUAACUGGAUGACAAGAUAAACUCUAAUCCACAUUUUAGGACCACGAGUAAUGAGAAUUCAGUACAGAUAUUUUAAAACAUAAAUAGACAUCUCCUUAUAGACUACAAUGGAACAAUAUCUCAGGGAAGAAUUAUGUAUUUACUAAAGAAUUUCCGAACCUUGCAAAUUCAAGUGAGAAUUCUAUUGUCAUGGUUUUAGAAUUAUCUUAGUUUCCAAAACUAAUGAUGUAGAAUAUAGAAAUUACAUUUAGUGACUUGGGGAUAGAUGCUGUACAGGACUUCAAGGAAAGAUGGCAGUAGGCAUUGGUGGGGUUUAGACAGUAUUUGUUGUUGCAGAGGAACAUUAUUAGUAGAACUGGUAAAAAACGGAACUAAGCAAAAAUAAGGGGUCAAAUAAGGAUAAAGAGCCACAUCCUGCAAAGUGCUGAGCAUACUUUGAAGUGCUGCCCUUAACUCCUGUUGAUUCCUGCAUGCAAGGAGAGUGGAUUCAAAGAACGUGUGUAUGUGCAUGUGUGUGGAAUCAAGGAACCUUAUUUGAACCUGUCUUUGGGUUGUAGCCAAGGACUUUAAGUCAAGACGAUAGUCAGAUGCCUGGGCUAUGGAGUUACUUAAAGCAAAAGAAAAAAAAAAGGAGUAUAGCUGCUUUGGUUUUGAUCUUGUUCAUGUGAUAAAAGUUCCAAUAGCUUUCGAUCCUGCUGGCAGGUCCAAAGACCUUUUCUCAUUAUAUUUAUAUAAAUGUUAAUAACUAUUUCAGUAUUAUUAAUGAUGGCAAGAUUUGAACUCAUUAAAGGUGGGAAAUUUGUGGGAUUAAUUUGUUCCAGCUUCUAUUUGCCAAGAGAGCAUUUUCCCAGCAUUAUUCUUUCUCCAUAUAUAUUAACUUUGUAAUUGUGGAUCAAAGCCUACUGAGCUUUGGAUGUAUUAAGUGAAUAUUACUGAAAUAGAAACUCAGAAAGGCAUUUUCUGCCAAAAAAUGUAAGUGGAGAAGUCACGAUUGAGUUCAGCUUAUUAAAUCUGUUUACUCAGUGUGCCUAAGUCAUAUUGGAAUUUAAAAGAAAAAAUAAAACAUGGUUACGCUUGGGCUGUGGGACAUGACAAGAAGUAUAUUUUAGAAGAAGUAGUCCUGGAGUACAGGUUUGAAAAACAUCAACGAUACAGAGCAAUAAAUAAGACUUCAUAAAUUAUUGCUUGGAAUAAUAUGUGGCUGUAUGAGACGAAAAUUAUUCAGGAAUUGUGAAAAAUCAGAAUUUUAAAGGCUUGUACUUUAUGUUCAUCUGAAUAUAAGAAUUCCAUCUGGUCCUGUAUCCUGUCUCUGAAAAUUGCUGAUACAUUUGUGCUUUCAAAAGAAGGUGUAAAAAUGUACAGGAAACUACUGUGGCUGGCAUUUUCCUGAACUCUAAUUGCUAAUCUGAUUCAACUUUAGGUAGCUCUUUCCAUGAAAAUAAAUACAUAAAAUAUAUAAAAUCAUUGUAAGUGUCU
Ficedula albicollis (Collared flycatcher) is the source of this 2762-nucleotide long non-coding RNA. The record is from Ensembl. Lineage: Eukaryota; Metazoa; Chordata; Aves; Passeriformes; Muscicapidae.